RNAcentral lists this long non-coding RNA (224 nucleotides) under Cavia porcellus (domestic guinea pig). Its description in RNAcentral is "lncRNA (ENSCPOG00000035292.1)". The record is from RNAcentral. Lineage: Eukaryota; Metazoa; Chordata; Mammalia; Rodentia; Caviidae.
UGCAGCGCAGUGCAGGUGAGUCAUCACCCCAGCUUGACGUGGGGAGAAAAAGAACGGGUGGAUGUGCUGUUAGGAAAAAAUGACACUCAAGCUGAGAGUGCAGCUGAAUCCAACAUGAGUCACUGAACUCCAGGGAGAAGAUGCCUCCUCUGGAUGCAGAGAACCCAAUGUGAUGGACCACGCAUUCCACUGCAUGACAUUAGUGUUACAAAGGCUGAAACAGG